This 419-nucleotide ribosomal RNA is filed under the name bacterium. RNAcentral's name for it is "partial 16S ribosomal RNA". It matches the Rfam family "Bacterial small subunit ribosomal RNA", at positions 355 to 776 of the family's 1533-position model. The record is from RNAcentral.
UGGGGGAUAUUGCACAAUGGGCGAAAGCCUGAUGCAGCGACGCCGCGUGGGGGAUGAAGGCCUUCGGGUUGUAAACUUCUUUUGCUCUGAACAAGGCAUGCUAAUGGGUGUGUUGAGUGUAGGGGUUGAUUAGCGCCGGCUAACUACGUGCCAGCAGCCGCGGUAAUACGUAGGGCGCGAGCGUUGUCCGGAAUUAUUGGGCGUAAAGGGCUUGUAGGUGGCUGGUUGCGUCUGUCGUGAAAUCUCAUGGCUUAACUGUGGGUUUGCGGUGGGUACGGGCUGGCUUGAGUGCAGUAGGGGAGGCUGGAAUUCCUGGUGUAGCGGUGGAAUGCGCAGAUAUCAGGAGGAAUACCGGUGGCGAAGACGGGUCUCUGGGCUGUUACUGACACUGAGGAGCGAAAGCAUGGGGAGCGAACAGG